GAUGAACGCUGGCGGCGUGCCUAAUACAUGCAAGUCGAGCGAACGGACGAGAAGCUUGCUUCUCUGAUGUUAGCGGCGGACGGGUGAGUAACACGUGGAUAACCUACCUAUAAGACUGGGAUAACUUCGGGAAACCGGAGCUAAUACCGGAUAAUAUUUUGAACCGCAUGGUUCAAAAGUGAAAGACGGUCUUGCUGUCACUUAUAGAUGGAUCCGCGCUGCAUUAGCUAGUUGGUAAGGUAACGGCUUACCAAGGCAACGUUGCAUAGCCGACCUGAGAGGGUGAUCGGCCACACUGGAACUGAGACACGGUCCAGACUCCUACGGGAGGCAGCAGUAGGGAAUCUUCCGCAAUGGGCGAAAGCCUGACGGAGCAAAGCCGCGUGAGUGAUGAAGGUCUUCGGAUCGGAAAACUCUGUUAUUAGGGAAGAACAUAUGUGUAAGUAACUGUGCACAUCUUGACGGUACCUAAUCAGAAAGCCACGGCUAACUACGUG
This 497-nucleotide ribosomal RNA is filed under the name uncultured bacterium. Its description in RNAcentral is "partial 16S ribosomal RNA". It matches the Rfam family "Bacterial small subunit ribosomal RNA", at positions 28 to 507 of the family's 1533-position model. The record is from RNAcentral.